GCCCGGUUAGCUCAGUCGGUAGAGCAUCAGACUUUUAAUCUGAGGGUCAAGGGUUCGAGCCCCUUAUCGGGCG
This is a non-coding RNA of Nematostella vectensis (starlet sea anemone), 73 nucleotides long. NCBI's taxonomy places the organism in Eukaryota, Metazoa, Cnidaria, Anthozoa, Actiniaria, Edwardsiidae. The record is from Rfam.